This is a small nucleolar RNA of Manis pentadactyla (Chinese pangolin), 127 nucleotides long. The record is from RefSeq and is a predicted model, not a curated record. Lineage: Eukaryota; Metazoa; Chordata; Mammalia; Pholidota; Manidae.
GUCGAGGUGUGUCCUAAUGAGGCUUUUUGGGUAGACCCACAUCAUUGGAAAUGUGUCGAAGAGUAUAUAUGUGGUCUGCUUUACUCACAGAACUAUUAGAUCUGUGGGAAAGAAGUACAAGACAGAG